UAAAAAAAUUGCGGAGACGCAUGUGUGCCUUCGGGACUCUAAGACAGGUGCUGCAUGGCUGUCGUCAGCUCGUGUUGUGAAAUGUUGGGUUAAGUCCCGCAACGAGCGCAACCCUUAUCCUUGUUUGCCAGCACUUCGGGUGGGAACUCCCGGGAAACUGGCGGUGAUAAACCGGAAGAAGGGGGGGACCAACUCCAGUCCUCCUGGCCCUUACGAAUAAGGCUACCCCCGUGCUACCAUGGCCCAUACCGAAGGCGGCCCACUUGCCAGAGUGAACCAAUCCCCAAAAGUGCGUCCUAAUCCGGAACGGAAUCUGCCACUCCACUCCCUGAAAUCCGAAUCCCUUGUAAUCCUGGAUCCAAAUGCCCCGGUGAAUACCUUCCCGGGUCUUGGACACACCGG
RNAcentral lists this ribosomal RNA (402 nucleotides) under uncultured bacterium. RNAcentral's name for it is "bacterial SSU rRNA". It matches the Rfam family "Bacterial small subunit ribosomal RNA", at positions 990 to 1393 of the family's 1533-position model. The record is from RNAcentral.